UACGAAGGGGGGCUAGCGUUGCUCGGAAUUACUGGGCGUAAAGGGCGCGUAGGCGGCACUGUUAGUCAGGCGUGAAAGUCCUGGGCUCAACCUGGGAACUGCGCUUGAUACGGCAGAGCUAGAGGAUGGAAGAGGCUCGCGGAAUUCCCAGUGUAGAGGUGAAAUUCGUAGAUAUUAGGAAGAACACCGGUGGCGAAGGCGGCCCACUGGAUCGGUACUGACGCUGAGGUGCGAAAGCGUGGGGAGCAAACAGG
This 254-nucleotide ribosomal RNA is filed under the name uncultured bacterium. RNAcentral describes it as "partial 16S ribosomal RNA". It matches the Rfam family "Bacterial small subunit ribosomal RNA", at positions 524 to 776 of the family's 1533-position model. The record is from RNAcentral.